GGGGUUGUUACGGAUUCGACAGGCAUUAUGAGGCAUGUUUUGCGUCCCAUCGGCAGAUGUAAAUUGCCAGUUAAAUAUAACUGCAAAAAAUACAAACUCUUACGCUUUAGCUGCCUAAAAACCAGCUAGCGUGACUUCUACAAGAUUGCUUGUGUCCUGUUAGAAGUCUCAAAAUAGCAAGCUACGGUUACGAAAUUGUCUAGUUUCGUGACAAGAGAUUGAUAGACUCGCAAACUAAUGGCUUGAGUUAUGUGUCUUUAGUUUGUUAAAUGAAGACAUAACCUAUGGACGUAGACAAAUAUGUUGGCAGGUGUUUGGACGUGGGUUCG
RNAcentral lists this transfer-messenger RNA (329 nucleotides) under Streptococcus pyogenes. RNAcentral's name for it is "partial transfer-messenger RNA". It matches the Rfam family "transfer-messenger RNA". From Rfam's summary of the family: Bacterial tmRNA, also known as 10Sa RNA or SsrA, is named for its dual tRNA and mRNA-like properties. Its role is to liberate the mRNA from a stalled ribosome. Lineage: Bacteria; Bacillati; Bacillota; Bacilli; Lactobacillales; Streptococcaceae. The record is from RNAcentral.